AUGGCAUUGAUCAUCCCGGCGACCUCCCUCAUGGUCGGCGGCACCUCGCCGGGCGAGGCGUCGAUGCACCUCAUGGCGACCUGCAGCAGCCGCACCAUCCGCUGCUCGCUGACGCCGUCGCGGGAGAGCAGCGCGCGGUCGAACACCUCGGCGGUCCACUCCUCCUGGAUCACCGAGGUCACCCAGCGCGCCAGCUCCGCGCCGUCGCCCUGCGCCGCCGUGGCCUUCCCCGUGAGCAGCUCCAGCAGAAGCACGCCGAAGGCGCGCACGUCCGCGCGGAGGCCGACGGCGGCGGCCAGCGGCGGCGCGACGACGCCGUACUCGCUGAUGCAGGGCUCCAUGCCGGCCGUGAAGAGGAUGUUGGUGGACUUGAGGGCACCGUGGGCGAUGGAGGACGUGGAGGAGGCGUAGGAGCUCGCGCCGUCGCCGCGCAUGGCGGCGUGUAAGAAGGCCAUGCCGUCGGCCACCUUUGUAGCAAUGUGAAGGCGCGCCGGCCAGUCAAGGGGGGCCUGGCUGCUCUCUAUAGAGCCUGCAAAUAAUCAUCGAGAAGAACAUCGUUAUUUUCUUCGCUCGGAAUAA
RNAcentral lists this ribosomal RNA (579 nucleotides) under Triticum aestivum (bread wheat). Its description in RNAcentral is "partial small subunit ribosomal RNA". Lineage: Eukaryota; Viridiplantae; Streptophyta; Magnoliopsida; Poales; Poaceae. The record is from RNAcentral.